GGUAGGCGUCGGAGGAGGGCGCUCCUCCGGUGGCGGUCGGAGGAGAGCGCGACGAGGAGGGCGCUGCUCCGGCGGCGGUCGGAGGAGGGCGCGACGAGGAGGGCGCUGCUCCUGCGGCGGUCGGAGGAAGGGGUGGUAGCCGGUGGGGAGGGUAAGUGCGGGGGGUAGUCUUAGGAGGGGACCUUGGGAUCGGUCGGCGUACCUUGGGUACCGCGGCGGGUCGAGCGGCGGGAGCCGGCAGCCUGGCAGCGCUCCGUUCGCGUGCAGGAGGCGGAUCCUGCGCGGCUCCGGUUGGACCUCCGGUGCCAGUGGUGCACGGGCGCGUUCCCGUGGUGUAGGUCCUUCUUCUUCGAACACGAGUUCCGCAGCCGCCCGUUCUUCGUCCGUGGUGUAGGCCCUUCUUCUUCGAACACGAGUUCCGCCGCCGCCCGUUCUUCGUCGUCUUAACCACUCUGAACUCUCCGAUCCCAAACAGAAGCAGGUCACUGGACGUCCGAACUACACGUAUAUACACUGAUAAAAGAAUACUACUUGAACUUCUACCACCAAUUCCAUAAGUACCACCUCCCUUUCCAACUACAACCAGAACCAGGAUAAAUCCGCGUACCCUCAUUCGAACUCGACGUCUGCUCGAGUCUGAGGUAUCCUCCUCGUACAAGGCGACGCGGAAAGGGUGGAGGAGCCGCGUGUCCCCCUACCGAUCGAGGCGCGUCGUCGCCCCACAACUAGUGUUCUAUGAUUUCCCAAAGAGAUAAUCAUCUCCAUACUUCCAAGCUCUUCCCUGCUUUCUACUUCUUAAACGGACGUCUUUUAUAACUUGUUUUUCGAGGUCUACCGAAGGAUCCCCACUACGCGAAGUCAAACUCUAACCCUACAACCGAAAGAGAUUGGACGGAAGGAACUCAGACUUCAACCCAAGUGUUCGUUCGUCCGGCGUCUCCUGUACCGUGACCGGCACAAGUUGGCACGGGACUUCGAAAGACCUCGUCCAUACACGGAGACACACACAGAAGAGAUUGAAGUAUAGCGACCUAGAUACCUAGUAAGACGUGCAACCCGAACAACGACCGACGAUCGGACCGAACAUUCUCCUACGAGGGGACGAAACUCAGGUUCCAUGUGUUUACUAGUUUUCUUGUGGACUUACUUUUUUCGAGAAGGUAAACAUCACUUCAAAGACAUCUACAUUAGAGAUAAAGAAAAUGUACACCUAUGACAACAAAACUUCGUUUAAAGUGGUAAUUAAAAAGAGUCCAAAACCUUGGAUAUUAGUCAAAAAAAUAGUCCAAAACAAACCAGAUAAUAGUCAAAAAGAGCGAAUAAGAGAGAUUAGUAUUUUCCUCGGACUUUUAGACGUAAAUGUAAACGUCUAUGACUCCUUUUCAGAUUGUAUAGGUCUCCGUGGUUAACCCUCUCCAUGUUGUAUACGUAAAGUUUCUCUUGACCUGAGGCGAUGAAGACUGAAGUGGUUCCAACUUUAAAAUUUAAGUCUUAAGUCUUGUAAGGGAAAUGGAAACACAUUUUACUGGAAUACUAGAAUGAGAUUUCCCUACUAGUUAAGUACAACAGAACGUAAAGUCAUCAUUUCGCAAUAUCCAUCCAACAAUCUCGUGUGAGAUUUAAGGUGGUUAAAGAAAGGUACCGAAUAUACACUGGUUUACGAGGUCUAACAUAUACUGUAGGAAAACAAAUGUGUUCGAAUUGACAAAGGAUACUCCGUCGAUGACUCUCACUACUUAUAUCGUAACGAACCGUCAACACGAAAUCAGUAACCAUACUAUCUUCGUAAUGUAUCACGUAACCACUAUUUUGAUAACAAGAGAGUUUGACCAUUAUAACUAGACAAGAGAACUUACUACAUUUCAAUUACCUAGAAUACACAAAGUACUAUCAAGUGUUAUAAGAGAAUUAAUUGUAAGACUCAUAUUAUAGAAUUUGUUAAACCAAUCUUCAUUUGACCCUACUUUUGUACACAUCAAUUUAUACUUACGUAUACAAUAAAGCUCAAUUUAAAGUUAGGUGUAUGGCCAACAAUUCUUCAUAAUGUACUAAAAAUAAAAGAGUUAACAUACCUUCACAAUCAAGAAAGGUCCAGAAACCUUAUUGUUAACAUGUAAAAGAAUAAGUACGAUAAACCUGGCUUAAACGUCUUAGCAAUUUCAGAGUCGAUCCUAAAACUGGACCAAUGGACCAAGACGGAUUAGAAGAGAAAUAAAACCGAUACCAACAGCCACAUUUGAUCCUUGACCAAUAUACGUGUACAAAAAUUACAAAGUCUGCAUCAUAUAUCGUCUCAAACGAGACACGGUGAAGGGAAAAGGUAGAGAAGAAUGUCGGUUAUAUAUACAAAGAACACGGAUACCAACCACUCGAGUCUUUCUGUCGUUUGGUUUCCGUACAAUGUAUUAACACAUGACAAAACCAUUUCAGACGCACACACUUAAACUAAUACUAUCCGUUCUCACGGAACAACGUACCCGGUUUAUAAAAGGGUGCGCACCAUCAAACAGUUGUAAAAAGGCUUUAGUGCUUACUUAAAAUUUUUGGCCUUAAAUUCUAUUUAUUCAUUUGGAUAUGUUUGUGUUUCUUUCAUUUACUCUUUGUCCUUUUUCUACCUUCUCUUGAAGUACCCGGUCGGGUUUUCAGUGUCGCCGCGAGGUGGUAACUCGGAUGGAAACUCUUCCGGUAACCCGUUCCGAUAAAGCCAGUAGAAGGACAGACUAUGUAUCCAGUUUGGAUCUUCCUAAAUGUGCAAGAGAGAGGCUGUAAAAGGAAACGAGGACGCUUAUGUAGCAGAAGAGCCGCGCCGCCGCGGCGGAACCUAGUCUGGAGACAACGCGGAGAAGCUAAUAGGGAAACCUUGAGUCGAGGUCGCUGGUCAAGUCAGACACGAAUACAAGUUAAUGUAGGUACCAAGGAAAAAGAAGAUUCGAGAUUUCCACGGGUGUAGACCCCUAAAGAACCUAGGUAUAUAAGACAAGUCCAGUGAUACCGCCUUCUUCUCGAGGUCCAAGUACCGAACGGCCCAAGGCGAAGGGCGUGCUUGUCGACAGACACUCGUUAACGGGUCCAGUUAAGUUGAAAUAGUGGAAUGGAGAGGACCUUCCUUCAACUAGCUGUUCCGUCGACUUACCUCGGUGAAUAAUCAUACAAAUCAUCAAUACCGGGGCAUCAACCGAGAGGAAAUAAUACAAGAACCAGAAUAAUGAAGGAGAGGACAUAAGAGCGAAAACCAUAGCUUAAAGUACAGCUCACCGAUAGAAACACGAGAAUACUUACAAGACUUGAAGUACGACCGAAUAUGAACUACAACCG
Molecule: ribosomal RNA, 3315 nt
Filed under: Triticum aestivum (bread wheat)
Lineage: Eukaryota; Viridiplantae; Streptophyta; Magnoliopsida; Poales; Poaceae
Description: partial small subunit ribosomal RNA
Source: RNAcentral